RNAcentral lists this ribosomal RNA (907 nucleotides) under Thraustochytrium sp. Its description in RNAcentral is "partial small subunit ribosomal RNA". It matches the Rfam family "Eukaryotic small subunit ribosomal RNA", at positions 696 to 1605 of the family's 1831-position model. The record is from RNAcentral. Lineage: Eukaryota; Bigyra; Thraustochytrida; Thraustochytriidae.
GCAAUACUCCUUGCUCUUCCCGCCGGUUUUGCCCUUUUUGUUAGAAGGGAAAUGUUUCACUGUAAGUAAAACAACUCGCUCAACAGCAAGGUUAUCUUGAUAUGAAUUAGUAUGGGAUGAUGAGAUAGGCUCGGUCCGUAUUUUGUUGGUUUUAGUGGUCUGAGAAUGAUGAAGAGGGACAAUUGGGGGUAUUCGUAUUUACAUGUCAGAGGUGGAAUUCUUGGAUUUUGGAAAGACGAACUAAUGCGAAAGCAUCUACCAAAGAUGUUUUCAUUGAUCAAGAACGAAAGUUUGGGGAUCGAAGAUGAUUAGAUACCAUCGUAGUCUAAACCAUAAACUAUGCCGACUUGCGAUUGUUUUGUGUCAUUUAAUGAGCAGAGCAGCAGCACAUGAGAAAUCAAAGUCUUUGGGUUCCGGGGGGAGUAUGGUCGCAAGGCUGAAACUUAAAGGAAUGACGGAAAGGCACCCCCCCGAGUGGAGCCUGCGGGUUAAUUUGAGUCAACACGGGAAAAAUUUCCCCGUCCCGACAUAGGAAAGGGUGACAGAGUGAGAGAUCUUUUUUGAUUUUAUGGGGGGGGGGGCACGGCCCUUUUUAGUUGGGGGAGCGAUUUUUUUGGUUAAAUCCGUUAAAGAAAGAGACCCCACCCUAUUAAAUAUUGGGGUGUAUGGGGACAUAGGGGAUUGUUUUUUAGAGGGGCACUUUGGUUUUACCGGAAAGAAAUUUGUGGCAAUAACACGUGUGUGAUGCCCCUAGAUGUUUUGGGGCGCACGCGCGCUACACUGAUGAUUUUAAAGAGUUGUUUAUUAUUGUGUUUUUGGCAAUAUUUCCUUGUCCGUUAGGUCUGGGUAAUCUUUUGAAUGGUCAUCGUGAUGGGGCUAGAUUUUUGCNAAUUUUUAAUCUCCAACG